GCCGCCUUAGCUCAUCUGGGAGAGCGUAAGACUGAAGAUCUUAAGGUAGCGUGUUCGAUCCACGCAGGCGGCA
Transfer RNA from Rhizoclosmatium globosum, 73 nucleotides. It matches the Rfam family "tRNA". Rfam says of the family: Transfer RNA (tRNA) molecules are approximately 80 nucleotides in length. Their secondary structure includes four short double-helical elements and three loops (D, anti-codon, and T loops). Further hydrogen bonds mediate the characteristic L-shaped molecular structure. tRNAs have two regions of fundamental functional importance: the anti-codon, which is responsible for specific mRNA codon recognition, and the 3' end, to which the tRNAs corresponding amino acid is attached (by aminoacyl-tRNA synthetases). tRNAs cope with the degeneracy of the genetic code in two manners: having more than one tRNA (with a specific anti-codon) for a particular amino acid; and 'wobble' base-pairing, i.e. permitting non-standard base-pairing at the 3rd anti-codon position. Lineage: Eukaryota; Fungi; Chytridiomycota; Chytridiomycetes; Chytridiales; Chytriomycetaceae. The record is from Rfam.